This 468-nucleotide ribosomal RNA is filed under the name uncultured bacterium. RNAcentral's name for it is "partial 16S ribosomal RNA". It matches the Rfam family "Bacterial small subunit ribosomal RNA", at positions 28 to 507 of the family's 1533-position model. The record is from RNAcentral.
GACGAACGCUGGCGGCGUGCUUAACACAUGCAAGUCGAACGGAAAGGCCCUGCUUUUGUGGGGUGCUCGAGUGGCGAACGGGUGAGUAACACGUGAGUAACCUGCCCUUGACUUUGGGAUAACUUCAGGAAACUGGGGCUAAUACCGGAUAGGAGCUCCUGCUGCAUGGUGGGGGUUGGAAAGUUUCGGCGGUUGGGGAUGGACUCGCGGCUUAUCAGCUUGUUGGUGGGGUAGUGGCUUACCAAGGCUUUGCCGGGUCGGCGGCCUGAGAGGGUGACCGGCCACAUGGGGACUGAGAUACGGCCCAGACUGCUACGGGAGGCAGCAGUGGGGAAUAUUGCACAAUGGGCGGAAGCCUGAUGCAGCAACGCCGCGUGCGGGAUGACGGCCUUCGGGUUGUAAACCGCUUUCGCCUGUGACGAAGCGGGAGUGACGGUAAUGGGUAAAGAAGCACCGGCUAACUACGUG